RNAcentral lists this ribosomal RNA (492 nucleotides) under uncultured bacterium. RNAcentral describes it as "bacterial SSU rRNA". It matches the Rfam family "Bacterial small subunit ribosomal RNA", at positions 28 to 517 of the family's 1533-position model. The record is from RNAcentral.
GAUGAACGCUAGCGGCAGGCCUAAUACAUGCAAGUCGAACGGAUAUAUGUUUUUCGGAAUAUAUAUUAGUGGCGCACGGGUGAGUAACACGUACAUAACUUGCCCUCAAGCGGGGGAUAGCCUUGGGAAACUGAGAGUAAUACCCCAUAGAAUUAUUGGACGGCAUCGUUUGAUAAUUAAAACUACGGUGCUUGGGGAUAGAUGUGCGUCUGAUUAGCUAGUUGGUGAGGUAACUGCUCACCAAGGCGACGAUCAGUAGGGGGCGUGAGAGCGUGGCCCCCCACACGGGUACUGAGACACGGACCCGACUCCUACGGGAGGCAGCAGUAAGGAAUAUUGGUCAAUGGAGGCAACUCUGAACCAGCCAUGCCGCGUGCAGGAUGACGGCCCUAUGGGUUGUAAACUGCUUUUGUACCAGAGAAAACCUACUCACGUGUGAGUAGCUGAUAGUAUGGUAAGAAUAAGCAUCGGCUAACUUCGUGCCAGCAGCCG